This is a small nuclear RNA of Ailuropoda melanoleuca (giant panda), 104 nucleotides long. The record is from Ensembl. NCBI's taxonomy places the organism in Eukaryota, Metazoa, Chordata, Mammalia, Carnivora, Ursidae.
GAGCUUGUUUCAGCAGUACAUAGACUAAAAUGGGAAAGAUACAGAGAUUAGCAUGGCCCCUGUGUAAGGAUGACAGGCAAAUUCACAAACCACCCCAUAUUUUU